Molecule: ribosomal RNA, 232 nt
Filed under: Escherichia coli
Lineage: Bacteria; Pseudomonadati; Pseudomonadota; Gammaproteobacteria; Enterobacterales; Enterobacteriaceae
Description: partial 23S ribosomal RNA
Rfam family: Bacterial large subunit ribosomal RNA
Source: RNAcentral
UCGGGUUGUCAUGCCAAUGGCACUGCCCGGUAGCUAAAUGCGGAAGAGAUAAGUGCUGAAAGCAUCUAAGCACGAAACUUGCCCCGAGAUGAGUUCUCCCUGACUCCUUGAGAGUCCUGAAGGAACGUUGAAGACGACGACGUUGAUAGGCCGGGUGUGUAAGCGCAGCGAUGCGUUGAGCUAACCGGUACUAAUGAACCGUGAGGCUUAACCUUACAACGCCGAAGCUGUU